Long non-coding RNA from Xiphophorus maculatus (southern platyfish), 292 nucleotides. RefSeq lists it as uncharacterized. The record is from RefSeq and is a predicted model, not a curated record. Lineage: Eukaryota; Metazoa; Chordata; Actinopteri; Cyprinodontiformes; Poeciliidae. The transcript has 3 exons.
UGUUGGCCGACCUGUCAGGUUAAAGUCGGUAGGGGGCGAUAACAUCCCUCCUCAUCAUGCUUCUUCCUGUGUCUUCCUGAGGCUGAAUGAAAGCAGCAGCUUUGUGAGCAAACAUGAGACAUGCAAAAUGGCUCAGCCUUAACAGCCAGGCCUCAAACCUCGCUGCCGAGGCGAUCUUCCAGAGUCCACCAGGACGAAGUGAAAUUCAUACAGCAAGGCAGAGUGUGAUAAGCAGAAGAGAUAUACAACAUGGCGGACAUGAUCUUCAAUAUGAGGACACAGGGACGGGAAG